This 77-nucleotide transfer RNA is filed under the name Acinetobacter baumannii. RNAcentral describes it as "tRNA-Asp". It matches the Rfam family "tRNA". From Rfam's summary of the family: Transfer RNA (tRNA) molecules are approximately 80 nucleotides in length. Their secondary structure includes four short double-helical elements and three loops (D, anti-codon, and T loops). Further hydrogen bonds mediate the characteristic L-shaped molecular structure. tRNAs have two regions of fundamental functional importance: the anti-codon, which is responsible for specific mRNA codon recognition, and the 3' end, to which the tRNAs corresponding amino acid is attached (by aminoacyl-tRNA synthetases). tRNAs cope with the degeneracy of the genetic code in two manners: having more than one tRNA (with a specific anti-codon) for a particular amino acid; and 'wobble' base-pairing, i.e. permitting non-standard base-pairing at the 3rd anti-codon position. The record is from RNAcentral. Lineage: Bacteria; Pseudomonadati; Pseudomonadota; Gammaproteobacteria; Moraxellales; Moraxellaceae.
UCAGCGGUAGUUCAGUUGGUUAGAAUACCGGCCUGUCACGCCGGGGGUCGCGGGUUCGAGCCCCGUCCGCUGCGCCA